This is a long non-coding RNA of Hemicordylus capensis (graceful crag lizard), 1519 nucleotides long. RefSeq lists it as uncharacterized. NCBI's taxonomy places the organism in Eukaryota, Metazoa, Chordata, Lepidosauria, Squamata, Cordylidae. The transcript has 3 exons. The record is from RefSeq and is a predicted model, not a curated record.
CUCUAUGGUUGCUCUGUAUAAUGGAGGAGAGGCAGCCUUCAGCCGCAUUCCCUGGCUUCACAUGAGUACUGGGAAUGGCUGAAGAUGAAGUACCACAAUGACUCUGCCUCAUCAUUGCCAGCACAGCAGAUGUGUGUGGAUAACAAUAAGAACUCCUCUGACUCAAGGUCACUGCUGGAGCUGAGCAAAAACAGAAGAGCCGAAACAAAUCCAUUGCCGGAAUCUUCAGCGAAACGUUACUUGCUGCAUCCCAGACUCUCCGGCUACCUUGCACAGGUGACCAGCUAUUUUGCAGUGACUGAUAUUAUAGAUGGCGGUGACAGGGAUAAAAGCGGAGGAAAGGGAAGAAAGCACCAGUGCAGGAAAUGAAGGCCGCUUUGAGGCAGCUUUUACUUGGAACACAUGGGGCUUUAAUAAACUGGUUCCAGCCUGGGCAUCUUGGAGGCUUCCUCUUCUCACUGUUUUUCUCAGAAAGGUGUUGUCCUAUAGAGGACUGCAUUUUUCUUUCUUUCUUUUUCUUUUUUUUAAUUUAAUGUUUUUUGACAUUGUGUAUUUUUACAAGGACUGCAUUUUCAAACUGUCUUAAUGCAUACCAUACUAAAGCCUUCUUAUGAAGGCACCCCCAUGUGGUCAAGUUUAUAUUUGGCAGGAAGAUCUGAUUUUUGCGGGCUAUCUUGCAGUGGAGGGGCAGCAUCCCUGCACUCUUACAGAUAUUGGUUUAUACUUACAGAACUACUGUUACCAAAGGAAAACCGGCUUUAAGCUGCUCCCCCAUGUAGGAAACUAUUUUGUUAAAAGCAAUAUGCAAAUUUCCAUGAAAAUACAUUGAAAAGCUUUCGGGUUGUGAGGUGUUUUUUUUUUUUGGUACUUUGAUCUCCACUCGUUCCACACCUAAUGGAACGUCCCCUGAAUAAAUAGACUAAAUGUUGAAUUCCUAUGUGUUGGAAACCUUCAGUUCGUCGAAUGUUCUGACUCCAGGCAGUGGAAAUUAAAAAUGACACCCAGAUUUUUACACCUUCUUUUCUUGCUUGCCACACUGACGCUUUGCAUACAGCAAAUUCAUUAGCAUGAUCAGUGGACUCUGUUCUAUGCCCGCCUGGAUAGCCCUGAGCAGACCAGGUUACAUGCAUCAUUGCAUGGUAUGUGACGGAUUGUCAGAAUGAUUCAAAGGGUUCCGAGUUCCUUGCCAAAGGCAGCUUUUCCCCCUCAUACAUUAAAUUAAGUAUCCUAUCUUGCAGAUACUUCUUUGAAUAAUUCCAUGAAUACCUUUGAUGUCUGGAGGGUAAGUCUAUAAAGUUUCUGAAAUGCCAUGAAGCCAACGAUUUUAAAAACUGAUAUUGCAGUCUCGGAACAUUCAGCUUUUUGCCUUUCUUUGUAGUGUGUGGCUUGAAUUACAUAUUGAAUCACCGGGGUCAGAAGGAGGGGAGAUUGCAAAUGCAAUGGCAAUAAAUUCAAAUUCCAAAUUUUGGUUUGAGGCAUCUAUUUUGUUAAGGUACAUCAGGUACCUGGGUUAAAAGAA